Molecule: ribosomal RNA, 441 nt
Filed under: uncultured bacterium
Lineage: Bacteria
Description: partial 16S ribosomal RNA
Rfam family: Bacterial small subunit ribosomal RNA
Source: RNAcentral
CCUACGGGAGGCAGCAGUGGGGAAUAUUGGGCAAUGGGCGCAAGCCUGACCCAGCAACGCCGCGUGAAGGAAGAAGGCUUUCGGGUUGUAAACUUCUUUUAAGAGGGAAGAGCAGAAGACGGUACCUCUUGAAUAAGCCACGGCUAACUACGUGCCAGCAGCCGCGGUAAUACGUAGGUGGCAAGCGUUGUCCGGAUUUACUGGGUGUAAAGGGUGCGCAGGCGGAGGUGCAAGUCAGCGGUCAAAUUGCGGGGCUCAACCCCGUACUGCCGUUGAAACUGCAUCCCUUGAGUGCGCGAGAAGUAUGCGGAAUGCGUGGUGUAGCGGUGAAAUGCAUAGAUAUCACGCAGAACUCCGAUUGCGAAGGCAGCAUACCGGCGCGCAACUGACGCUCAUGCACGAAAGCGUGGGUAUCGAACAGGAUUAGAUACCCUUGUAGUC